Molecule: long non-coding RNA, 203 nt
Organism: Homo sapiens (human)
Lineage: Eukaryota; Metazoa; Chordata; Mammalia; Primates; Hominidae
Exons: 3
Source: RefSeq, a predicted model, not a curated record
CUGGUAAAGUUUUCAUGUCACACUUCAACUGCCACUGAGGAACUGUAUCAGGGGACAGAUAGAAAUUGACCACUUGGGCCAGUGCCCGGCCACUUUCAGAUAAGCUUUGAACAAGGAAGAAAGGGAAAAUGCAGAAAGAAUAGAAGUUUGACAGCUGCUUUGAAACCUCUGGAGAUUAAACCUUAGGGUACCCCAACUCUGCC